Molecule: ribosomal RNA, 420 nt
Filed under: bacterium
Lineage: Bacteria
Also listed under: 1 other name
Description: partial 16S ribosomal RNA
Rfam family: Bacterial small subunit ribosomal RNA
Source: RNAcentral
UGGGGGAUAUUGCACAAUGGGCGAAAGCCUGAUGCAGCGACGCCGCGUGGGGGAUGAAGGCUUUCGGGUUGUAAACCUCUUUCGCUAUCGAACAAGGCCCGCUUAGGGUGGGUUGAGGGUAGGUGGAGAAGAAGCGCCGGCUAACUACGUGCCAGCAGCCGCGGUAAUACGUAGGGCGCGAGCGUUGUCCGGAAUUAUUGGGCGUAAAGGGCUUGUAGGCGGCUUGUUGCGCCUGCUGUGAAAACGCGGGGCUUAACUUCGCGCGUGCAGUGGGUACGGGCAGGCUUGAGUGUGGUAGGGGUGACUGGAAUUCCAGGUGUAGCGGUGGAAUGCGCAGAUAUCUGGAGGAACACCGAUGGCGAAGGCAGGUAACUGGGCCAUUACUGACGCUGAGGAGCGAAAGCAUGGGUAGCGAACAGG